Molecule: long non-coding RNA, 6252 nt
Organism: Vespula pensylvanica (western yellowjacket)
Lineage: Eukaryota; Metazoa; Arthropoda; Insecta; Hymenoptera; Vespidae
Exons: 3
Source: RefSeq, a predicted model, not a curated record
UCUUUUCUCUUUCUUCUUCAAAUUUUUUCGAAGAAGAAAGAAGGAAAAGAUAAAAGCGAGCUGUUAUUGAGAAAAACGUAAGGACGUUACGUUACUGAAAACGUGUAAAUGCCUUGUGCCAAUGCAAACUAACGAGAUAACAACGGAAUGCAAAACAGUAGGAGAGCGAUCGCAUGGGACGUCACAUAUGUGACCGUGCAGCAUUUCAUUCCGAUCUACGAGAGAAUGGAAAAAUCACGUAGUAGACACGCUUAGAGGAGUAUACGCUCGGGAAUACAUAUCAAAUCGGGAGAGACAUAUGUGUAGGUGUAACAACGACGCGUGGGUGGUCCACGGCAGGGCUUCGUCCGCCCGUUUUUCGCGUGGGGCGUACGCAGUUGGGGUAUACUCGCUCUAUCUUUCUAUCUCUUUCUGUUACAUUAUUUCUCUCUAUUCCCCUUAAGUUGGCAACGAUUCUCUUUGGGUGUUUGUACGGGAAAGGUCGCGCUGCGCGACGAGUGCAGCUGUACCGAACACGAACCGAGAGCUUCGUGACUACCUUAUGCCGCGUUUACACUCCGCUCGCAUUCCCCCGUUAACUCCGAUCGAAAGUUAUAGUUUUGGAAAAAGGCGGCAGAACUCAUCGCGAGAGAGGGAAGAUGCCGAUGGCCGGCAAACGAACUCUCUCGGAUCUUACAACUCUUUUCUUCGUUUCUCUUUUCUCUUGAAAACUAUCGAUGAUCUUCUUUAUUAACAAUUUACGUUACGUUACUAAACUUAAUCUCGAUUCAAUUUUGUCAAUAACUUCGAACAAAUGUUUCCUUUUAGAUUUCGAUCGUUGUCGCGUAUAAUAAAGAAACGGAUCUAUUUUCGUCGUGCGAUGUAAACGCAGUUACAUAUUUUCGGUAUAGUUUUCAAACUCCUUUCCAAAAAACAUCCACGAGUCUGAUAAAGCGUCGUCGAUAAAAAGCAAGUGUAGAGUUCUUUGUUUCGAAACUCUUCUUAGUACGUUCUUUUUACUUUCCAUCAUAAUCGCAUUUCUCUUCGAGUAUGAUUUUAUUUUUCCAAACCGUUAAAACUAUCAUCGAAGCUAUCUGUAGAUUAUUUUGAUAAAAUCAAAUAGAAUGUCGUUAACGUUCACACGAUGAAAAUAUUUUUAUGAUAACUUCGAUUUCUUUUUUUAAACACACUUUAAUUUAAUAAAAACGGGUACGAUUAACACUUAAGAUAUUCGACAAGAUGCGAUAUACAAGAAUUUUGCAAUUCCACGUGCGUUAACGUGAAUAUACGCCAAACAGCUGUUCGCUCACGGCACGUUGCGAUAAUUAACUAGAAAGUACGCGAUGCGUACGUAUACGUACACACACACCUAUAUAUAUAUAUAUAUAUAUAAAUACACGGAAUCAUGCAGGUGUCAACUCAUCACAUAUGUAUGUCGCAACGAAAUUGGUUCGCACCGAUUUUAUGACCACCAGUUUCCUUUUAAAUCGUACAAUCGACUGUCGUCAAUUCUUUUAUUUUUCUUUAAAAAAAGAAGUUUGAUUUUACGCAUAUUUUUCUCGUCUCAUGUAAAAGAUUAUUAAUAAUGCAUAUACACGUGAUAAACAAAUUUCGUUCAUUCCUCAUUCGUAAUAGAACUCAUUAAAAAUGUAUCGAUUUUAUGAUAUAAAAGUAGAUCGAUAAAAUUAUGCGUAGAAAAAUUUAUUUAAAUUAAUAUCUAAGAUUGUUCCUUUUACGAGAUGGGAAUGAAAAAGUUUCGUUAAUCUAAUUCAACUCUCACGUACGAAACUAACUAAAUUUGCGACCGAACGUGCAGUUUGGGCUAUUGUUUCGACCUAUUUAAAAGUUCGUGCGUGUAGUAAAAAUAAAAAUGAAGUUACGUCAACUGCAAAUACGUAUAGCAAGUAAUAAUAAUUCUUACUAAUACUUGUCGUUGCGGUAAUUGUCAAUAGAUAAGAAAGACAACAAAGCGUACUUAUAUGGCUUCGUACUCGUAUCUGCUUUAUGGCUCGUUAACUUGCUAUUACGUAAUUUCGACUGUAGACGUUUGUUCAGUUUAGGGAAUAACAAUGUUAAAUAUGCAUGAUACAUAAGAAAAAAGAGAGAUGCGGACGUCGAAUUUUUUUUCGAAAAGUCGGCUGCCCAUGAACACCCUUUAUACCCCUCUCAUCUACCCUUUCUCUCUUUCUCUCUCACUCUUUUUUUCUCUUUCUCGUAAAACCAGUCAGUCGUUGAUGCUUCCUGUAAUUUUAUACGCUUUCUACCUGUCUAUAAAAGCAAACUGCGCCUAUGGGAAUUUGCACGCUUAAUGUUCGUUGACGACCCUCGGAAUUUUCAAGCAGUUCGCUAAGAAUUCUGUUAUUAUCCAGUCAAGAACUGACUAUUUUCGUUUCUAAUAUUCAAACUGUACAUUGUAAAUUAUGAUAACUUGAGUCAAGGAAAUUCUAAAAUUGUAAAGAAUAUCGCAUUUGUCGUAUAAAAAUGGACGAGACAUGACGAGUAUUCGUCUUUAUUUAUUAUAGAUUUAAAGAAUAAAUUUUCUCUCUCUUUCUCUCUUAUAUCUUAUUUGAAUUAGAGUAUCGACAAAUUUAGACAAAAUAUGUAAUGUGUGCUUUCGAACCUUCGAUUCUUCCUAUCUGCGAAUCUUCCUCGAAAGGUCUUAUUGUUAGUCGCUCGGAGAGCACGAAGUGCAAAAGUCGUUAAGCCAGCGUGGAAGGACGUUUCAUAGCCCGUUGAAUAUGCACGUUGUUGUUAUACCAGUCUAACAUUCUCGGAAUCGAUAGUUUCUCGUUUUAUGAUUCUACGUGAAAUACCUUGCACGAUUUACUCCGACUAGCUAAUGAACUAUAAUAGAACUCUUAAGAAUGCACGUACUGUAUUUUCAUAAUAAAAGGGGGAAAAAAAGAAAAAGGAAAAAAAAAGAAAUAAUACAAACGAGUGAUUAAAUUAAUGGGGAAACCAACGAAACAUCGUAGUUGUACGAGAAUGAUUCGAUUAUCGUGUGAGAACUAUCGAUUGCUCAAUCAAUAUCACUUCUAACUAUGUACUAUCGAGCUGUAUUAGACCAACCAAAUUUAAUUACAACAGAAUUGCAUUAGCUGUGUUACUGUACACGAUAGCGUCGUCGAAAUACAUUAAUAAGUUUGGAUUAGUAUCAUCGAAAUGAAUGAUAACACCGAAACCGCAACAUACUAUAGCGCUUUAGUUUAUUAUCGAACACUGAUUAUAUAUUGAACGGUUAAAUAUAGUUCAAUGCUUUACGAAGAAUCGGUACGUCUGACGAUAUUCGAUUACUCGAGAAAAUAGGCAUACCUCGACCUUCAACCUGCAAUAACGAUUCUCCUUCUCUUUCUUUAUCUCUCUCUCUCUCUCUCUCUCUCGCUCGCUCGCUCGCUCUUUCCUCCUCUCUCUCUUCUGUCUCUCUCGAUACAAUAGGCUGUUAAAAUUUUUUCCUCUUUUCCGAUGUCUUCCGAUUUCAAAGUUAUAUUUCUUCGAUCUGUCACAUCAAAUUUGUACUUUCCUCGCAAUGUGUAACAAUUCAUUGAUUCGUUUAUAAUUUUAUUUAGGAAAUAAGUGAAAGAUUAAAAAAGAACAGAUAAUGAAGUAUAUAUGUAAGUAUACUUAUCACAUCCUUUUUACGUAACAAGGAGACUCGUCAAGAGUAUUAGCUGAAACGCGGCCAUAGUUGAGCAACGAGGAAGGCCGUUACAUCGUAACGGCCACCGGUGUGUGCAGUACGGAAUGUGGAAUCGCGGAUGAAAAAACGUGUCACGAAUCCUUGACCUCCUCUCGUAUACACAAGGUGCUAGCCUAGGAGAGCACUUGGGCGAUCAACCACAAGAAAGAUGGCUUCCUAAAUACUUUUAGAUUCUUCAAUCCCUUUUUUCACUUAUAAUAGAGUUUCUUAGAGUAGGUACUGAACGGUUCGAUGGAUACAGUUCCAUUUCUAAGAUCUACUGACGUGAAAAUGUUAUGAAAAAGGAAAGAUCGAUCAAUCUUACGAGAACUUGUUAUCUAUCUGUUAAAAAAAUGACGAUAAUUCAUGUGACGUUAUCGCGAUCGACCUUCUAAGAUCUAAUAUACAAAUCUGUAUAUUUAGAUCAAUAACGUUAUGGUUGCUCGUUGUGGUUGUAAUUUAAAAAUAAUAAGAUAGAUCGAAUUGAUCGGAGUAUUUUAUCGGUAAAUCAAAUGUCGUUUGUCUGUUGAAUUCUGGAUCGAUCGGAAUUUUAUGACGUUGCUUUUAUGUAGACAUUUGGCCCCAUUUUUUCCUACUUUUGUUUCUUUUUAUUUUCCUUUCCUUUUUUUUUUUCUCAACGUUUGAAUUGCGCCAACUCUCGCUUGCAAAAUAAUUGUGCGCAUUUAAACGAACGAAAAUCAGAAACGUAAAAAUGUGAAAAAAAUAAAUGAAAUCGGCACAUCAUAUUUCAAAGUUAAAAGAUACUCGAAUCUUGUAUGAGAAGUUACGAAUAACCGGCUGAACUCUGGCAUGCCAGGCUAGACGAUCCUUGACCUUCUGCCGCAUACCAAAGAAAUUCUGAAACAACGUUGUUUCUUACGCACGAAUGUAGGAGUUUCUUCUUAUUCUCAUCGCAACGAGGACAACGACCACCCACGAGAGAUAUACUUAUUUGAUAAAAUUAUUAUUUAUAGACAUAAAAAUAAUAAUCGAUCUAUUUUUCUGAUAGCGUCGUUGACUCGUUAUCGGAAAAAUAAAUAAAUAUCACGUGAAGGCAUAAAAAAAUUUCUUCGAUUAAAAAAACUACACUUAGUCCCUGUUUUUAUUAAUUUAAAUUUCUCUUUCGUAAAGUAAGUAUUACUUAUAUUUCUUGAUAGACGUAAUUCAAUUAAAGUGCCUUUCGUUUUCAUUGAAAUAAUUUUUUUUAUUGAAAAUCUUAAUAAUAUUAAAUAAAGAAUACAUUUUCUUAGUGAUAUAUGUAAUUUUCAAAAUUUUUUAAAUCCAGAAAUUCGUGACGAAUAGAAGAAGAAACUACGUGUACUUCUGGAGAAAUACAUUCGUUGCUUACAACUUACAUACUUCCUGAUUACAAUUGAACUUCGUGCGAACGCAAGGAACCUCGUUGACAACCGAUUUGGAAAAUGAAGCAACGGACUUGGUGCGUUCGCCUUUCGAUAUAAUCGAUUUCCAUCACUUUGAAGUCUUCUUGACUGUGCUUCUACGAUAAGACUAGAAGGAAAGCAUGUUCGAUCGUAUAUUACUUGAAGAAAAAGAGAGAGAGAGAGAGAAAGAAAGAAAGAGCUCUUCUAUCUUCUACAUAUACUCUUACGUACUGCAUAAUGUGUAUUGUGAACAACGAGGUGAAGAUGUCAUCUAUUAGCCUGAUAUGUUGCAGGUUAACUUAUGGAAAGAUAUGACCGCUCCAAUGCCUUCUGAAAUUGAAUUACACGCAUGGUGAUCCACGUGAAAGAGGUGACUACCUGUGCAUGCAGAAUGAGGACAUGUUAAGGCACUAUUUGUAUUACAUGUAACCUGGAGAACGUUUGGUUGGAUGCCAAGGAUAAAAAAUCAUUUCUGUUUUGUAAGAGAAUAAGCAUACACCAUUCCGUAUUUCACUGAAGGCCCUUUUUCUUUCUUCCUUGCACCCUCUUCUUUCUACCGAUGGCAGAUGCUCUGCUAUAAUAGUUUCUAUUUUUGGUUAGUAGAAGGGUCGGUCCGUCCGUCCGUUCGAAUCUACGAUCAUCUUGCAUGGAUACAGAUGUUUCUUCUAGGGCAGCCCUCGAAGCUGAAGAGAAAUAGCAGGAAUGGGAAAAAUAUCAGGCCCGGAGACGAUAGAAAAACGAAGGGUAUGAGCUCACAUUGCGGAUAGAUAAACAGUCACGUAGAAGCGCAUGAAGGAGAAGGAACAAAAAGCGACGGGAGAGAAGAAUACUGGCGGAGUGGCACGACUUUUGUCGAUCGAACCUAAGACUCUUCAUUCUCCCUUAAAACGGUCCUUGGAUCACGAGACUUUUCCUCCUCAACAUCUCUCGACCCUUUUUAUAAGAUACAAGUCGACUUGUGGAGAAAAUAAAAAGUAAUUUCUAGAAGAUGCUACUCAACGUGAAGGAACUUAAAGAUAGAAGAAUUUAACGAUCUGGCAUAUAAGGAAAUUUACUAUUAUAAGAUAUUAGAAAACAUUAAAAAUUUGUUAGUUCUUAAAGAUCAUAAUCGCAGAUUACUAGUUAUUAAGGUGCAUGUUAAGAAGAAAGGACGGACUACUUACAAAAUAAAUUUUGUUUACUUCGCUCGCUAAUUUUAGAAAUAAAAUGGUUCGU